Molecule: ribosomal RNA, 236 nt
Filed under: uncultured bacterium
Lineage: Bacteria
Description: partial 16S ribosomal RNA
Rfam family: Bacterial small subunit ribosomal RNA
Source: RNAcentral
UGGCGGACGGGUGAGUAACGCGUGGGUAACCUGCCUCAUACAGGGGGAUAACAGUUAGAAAUGACUGCUAAUACCGCAUAAGACCACAGAGCCGCAUGGCUCGGUGGGAAAAACUCCGGUGGUAUGAGAUGGACCCGCGUCUGAUUAGGUAGUUGGUGGGGUAACGGCCUACCAAGCCAACGAUCAGUAGCCGACCUGAGAGGGUGACCGGCCACAUUGGACUGAGACACGGCCAA